UUUUGUUGGAGAGUUUGAUCCUGGCUCAGGACGAACGCUGGCGGCGUGCUUAACACAUGCAAGUCGAGCGGAAAGGCCCUUCGGGGUACUCGAGCGGCGAACGGGUGAGU
Molecule: ribosomal RNA, 110 nt
Filed under: Micromonospora tulbaghiae
Lineage: Bacteria; Bacillati; Actinomycetota; Actinomycetes; Micromonosporales; Micromonosporaceae
Description: partial 16S rRNA. Bacterial SSU
Rfam family: Bacterial small subunit ribosomal RNA
Source: RNAcentral